GACGAACGCUGGCGGCGUGCCUAAUACAUGCAAGUAGAACGCUGAAGCUUGGUGCUUGCACCGAGCGGAUGAGUUGCGAACGGGUGAGUAACGCGUAGGUAACCUGCCUGGUAGCGGGGGAUAACUAUUGGAAACGAUAGCUAAUACCGCAUAAGAGUAGAUGUUGCAUGACAUUUGCUUAAAAGGUGCAAUUGCAUCACUACCAGAUGGACCUGCGUUGUAUUAGCUAGUUGGUGAGGUAACGGCUCACCAAGGCAACGAUACAUAGCCGACCUGAGAGGGUGAUCGGCCACACUGGGACUGAGACACGGCCCAGACUCCUACGGGAGGCAGCAGUAGGGAAUCUUCGGCAAUGGACGGAAGUCUGACCGAGCAAUGCCGCGUGAGUGAAGAAGGUUUUCGGAUCGUAAAGCUCUGUUGUAAGAGAAGAACGAGUGUGAGAGUGGAAAGUUCACACUGUGACGGUAUCUUACCAGAAAGGGACGGCUAACUACGUG
Molecule: ribosomal RNA, 497 nt
Filed under: uncultured bacterium
Lineage: Bacteria
Description: partial 16S ribosomal RNA
Rfam family: Bacterial small subunit ribosomal RNA
Source: RNAcentral